UGGGGAAUUUUGGACAAUGGGCGAAAGCCUGAUCCAGCAAUGCCGCGUGUGUGAAGAAGGCCUUCGGGUUGUAAAGCACUUUUGUCCGGAAAGAAAUCCUUGGCUCUAAUACAGUCGGGGGAUGACGGUACCGGAAGAAUAAGCACCGGCUAACUACGUGCCAGCAGCCGCGGUAAUACGUAGGGUGCAAGCGUUAAUCGGAAUUACUGGGCGUAAAGCGUGCGCAGGCGGUUUGCUAAGACCGAUGUGAAAUCCCCGGGCUCAACCUGGGAACUGCAUUGGUGACUGGCAGGCUAGAGUAUGGCAGAGGGGGGUAGAAUUCCACGUGUAGCAGUGAAAUGCGUAGAGAUGUGGAGGAAUACCGAUGGCGAAGGCAGCCCCCUGGGCCAAUACUGACGCUCAUGCACGAAAGCGUGGGGAGCAAACAGGAUUAGAUACCCUGGUAGUCCACGCCCUAAACGAUGUCAACUAGUUGUUGGGGAUUCAUUUCCUAGUAACGUAGCU
Molecule: ribosomal RNA, 504 nt
Filed under: uncultured bacterium
Lineage: Bacteria
Description: partial 16S ribosomal RNA
Rfam family: Bacterial small subunit ribosomal RNA
Source: RNAcentral